This is a long non-coding RNA of Pan troglodytes (chimpanzee), 8174 nucleotides long. RefSeq lists it as uncharacterized. The record is from RefSeq and is a predicted model, not a curated record. NCBI's taxonomy places the organism in Eukaryota, Metazoa, Chordata, Mammalia, Primates, Hominidae. The transcript is spliced from 3 exons.
UUCCCGUUCUAAGGGACAUGUGGUUCGUGCCAGCCAGUUGAUGUGGGCGCUUUCUUCUGCCCCUACUCCCGGCUGUCCGCUUCCUCCCCAGCCCCCUCCUGUGAGCUCUGGGAGCUGCAGAAUAAGGACACUCCUUGGCCCCAAGCCAGCCCCAGCUUGCUCGGGAGCCUGGGUUUCCCCCUCCGUCCCCAUCACCGCGAGGGUCUGUGCAUGGGAAUCUGCUCCAGAGGCUCCCUCAGGCGCCGCGCCGCGGGGAUACGCCUUUCACCGCCCCAGUAAUUGGAGCGCUGAGUCGAAGUCCUGAUUCCACGGUAGGCGUAUGAAGCCCUAACGCUGAAAUUCUUUCCUCUAGGUCUUUGGCAGCGGCUGGGGCCAAAGCCCGGGCAAGACCAACGCCUUCGGCACCCGGACUCAGGCUUCGUCCUCUCUGCCCCCGUGCGGCUACAAUGACUCGACGUGGCAGGUGGGCAAGCACAGCACGCCCCAACAGACAUGCUUUAUUUAAUAUGUACUAAAAAUACAGCAGGCCUGUGAAACCCACAGGUGCAAUUGCUUAAAAUGAGGCUAAGGUAGACGUGUGAAUGGUUAAUAAUGAGUUGAUUAAAAUAUUCAGAAAUCAUCUACUGGAGACGGGCAAACUGCAAAAUGGUAGCAUGGGAGCAACUGAUGUUCGAGAAAGCCCAGGCUCCGGCAAGCCGUGGAUUUGAAUUUACACAUGCGCACAUAAUGGGUAUGAAUAAAACUUUCUUCAAAAAAACCAGAUCAAGUCAAGGCAGUUAUUUGCUGUGGGCAGGUGCCAAGGCUGGCUGCUUCAGUCCCCACGCGAGUCGCCCCCGAGCCUGCUUCUGCAGCCCAGCCUGGAAAGUGCAAGGCACUUGGAAAGGAGCCACGCCCAACGCCCUGUACCAGCGGCCUCCCAGACACCAACAGCGUCCUCUGCGCCUGCUGCAGCUUGUCCCUUAGUCCUCCCUGGACAGAGGGCGUGAAGUUGGCUGCGCCAACAGCACGCGGCCCGCUCACUUCGGGGCUCAUUGUCCUGGACACACAGUCAGGGCUGGACGCCUCCAGCAGCCCCACGCUUCACCCCGAGGUCCGCAAACCUGACAACUUCGGAGGUAGGGAUAUCUUGACACAGUCUGAAAACAAACCAUUUAAAACUUUUUUUCUCAAAAAAUUAAAAUAAUUUUUUUCUGCUUACAAAAUCUAUAAAUUCAGUUCAAUAUCAAUGAAAAUCGCAACAGGAUGUUGACACUUGAGAAGCUGAUUUGAAAGUUCAUCUGAAAGAGAAAAUAUAUAGGAAUCCUGAAGAUGAUUUCGAAAACCUCCAAAAAGACCUCAGUAAUUCACACAGAAAAUCCAGAAACAGAUUCAUGUUUAUGGGGAAAUUUAGUAUUUGAUACAGGAGACCUUUCAAAGCCAAGCUGGAAAGAUGGAAGGUCAACAGAGGCUUUGGGGAAAACUCACUAUCCAUUUUGAAACCAAUGUUAGAAUCUUCUUACCAUUUGCAAGAAUAAACUCCAGGUGUAUUAAAGAGCUAAACAUUUAAAAAAUCUAUAAAAGUUUUAGAGCCAAAUAUGGAAGAAUAUUUUUAAAAUCCUAUGGUGAAGAAGGCUUUUACUAAGCAGCAAACAAAACCUGGAAACCGUAAAGGAAAUGACUGACAGAUUUGAAUAUUGCAAAAACUAAAUGAAUGCCUCCUUAAACAAAUUAAAGGACAAAUUCCAGGCAGGGAGAAAAUAGUUUACAAUAGAAGUAAUGUGCCAAUGGUUAAUAUCUGUGUUGCAUAAACAUGUCUUUCCAAUCAAUAAGAAAAGAGUAGGAAAUGGGUAAGGAUUUAACAGGCAAUUCACAGAAGACAAAGUAACCGGCCCCUAAAUAGGAGCAUAUCCUCAACUUCACUAGUAAUAAAGGAAACGAAUUUAAAAGACGAUACAUUUCUCACGUCUUCUCUCCUUAUAGCUGUAUUCCACCUUUGACCAUACAGCCUGUUUUUAUUUAUCGUAAGCAUAGGUUAAUAAAUACAGGGCUUACCAUGUUAAUAUCUUCUUUCUAUGGAUGCGUAACAACUUAUUUUAUCAUUCUGUUUGUGACUGAAAUUGAAUUUCUUUCUGUAAACCUGAAAAUAUCUGAGACAAGCCUCGAUCAACUUAGAAGUUUACUUUGCCAAGAUUAAGGACACGUCUUGGGAGACAGGUCUGUGCCUUUCUCCAAAGAUGAUUUCGAGGGCUUCAGUAUUUAAAGGAAAAAGCCAGCUGGAGGGGACAGAGGGAGGGUAUGGUCACAUUACUGAAUCCAAAUGUUGCAAAAGAAAAGGAGCAUGUAGGGGAAUGGUCAAUUAUGUGUUCGUCCCAUGCUCAGUAACUCGACUCUUCACACAAGAUAAGGCCACUGCCUUCAGAGAAGGUGACAGAGGGCCAUGUCUGAAACAUUCUCCCACAACCAGGAACCCUCAGCAGCUGCUGAAGAGGAAAGGCAGUUAAAUGGAAAGACUUCUGAGCAAGUGGAAGAAAAGUCACGUGUGACCUAGGGAGGGGCUCCCACAGGAAGGGGCAAUGCCCUUGCCCUGUUCACCUAGCCUCCAGGUGGCUCCCCACUUGAAAUUUCAGAGGAUGGCAGAAACCUACUUACAAGGAAAUGAAAGAGGGCACAGCAACCUUAAGACCAGAGCAGCCCACGAUAUUUUUUAAUGAGGGCAAAAAUAGGAGACUUGCAAAAGACCCCUGAAAAUAAUGCCUGGAAGCUGCGAAACAUCAGACUGACACCGCACAAAAGAGGUCCAGCUGAGCAGGAGAAAAGCUUGAGAAGCAUCCAGAACAAUGUAGGUGGAGAGGCUAAGAAGAAAGAGGAGCCCACAUGGAAUGAAUAACCAAGGUCGGGACAGAGGAAGGUUCGCCAGAACUGGGAGGGCUGAAAUUGGACAUUGAGAUAAGUUAAAGAGUGUUCUUUAAAACUGUCAAGACUUUGGCUGGUCAAUAAGUAAACUGCAAACGAGUGUUCCUAAACCACAGCAGCAAUGCUCCCUGGAGGAGGGAAGGAGGCCGGGGCUGCCACUCUCCCAGCUGGCUGCGUCCCGGCCUUUGCCAUUGAUGUGUGCUUUCUCCAGGCUCACAGAUGUCCCUGGGCCGGUUGCAUCUGUGACCAGGACUCUGCCACCUGCCUGUGGCUGGCUGAUCAGCUGGUCACCCAGGAAUGUUAGGGAUGAACAGAGACCUAGAACUCAGGCUCCAUGGAUCUGGCAGCACCAGGAGACGAGGUUUCAAAUCUCAUGGCUGGGCCAGCCAGCCAGGUGCCCUGGAACUGUUGUGAUCCCUGCUCCUUGCCGGGCUUAGCCUCCUCUUACUUCAGCCCAGAAGUCCCCGAGUACCCACUCAACAAAUGCCAUCCCUUUAAUUUCUGUGGCCUGCUGCCAUCACGACUCGCCUAAUUCAUUCCCUCCACACCCUAAGUGUCCACAGAAGUGGCUGAAACAGUAAAACCACAGAGGAGCAUUCAUUCCAGUCCCCAAGGCGAGCCCCCUCCUUUGCACCCUGCUGUUUGGUUGAUUUCUUCUUUCUUCACUUCCCAGGAUGUGGAGCAGAUUCCCUGUGGCAUGAUUACCUGAGGCCAGGUACAGACUGGCUCCAGGGAAGCACAGGGCUGGGGUCCCAGUUCCCACACCGGGCCAUUCAUUAACAGGUGGGAAGAGUUCCACCACUUCUGAGGAAUUAGCAGGCUCCAGGUGACCCUAUGUCACCCCAAAUGACUCUCCAUUCCCCACAGACUCAGCCACAGGGCCAACAGUUUCUAUUGCUAUCUUUCCCUCCAGAAAACCCCUGGGCCAUCUCGCCUGCCCAGCUCCUGCUCCUCCCCAAGGGAGGGCUACAGUUAAAGAAGGGAAAGUGGCUAAUUCACUAAGUAAUUAACUUAAGGAGUGUCUAUUGAACAUCUACUGUGUGCAAGAUGCUGUUCUAGAUUUGAGAUACAAAACAGGGAAAGAGAAGGCCCUGCUCUCACGGAUGGGCAUUAGAAGAGUGGGGUUGAUAAACACGAGGAUCAGUGAAGAGCAUUCCAGGCAGGAAUAAGCACUGCAGAGGAAAGAGGAUGAGAUGAGAAGGGAGAGCGAGCGAGCAGCAGUGGGGGAGGUGUCCGUGGGGUUGAGUCUGGACGAGGGGAGGGAAGCAGCCAGUGCUUAGCAGGAAGACAGGGCAGGGGUGCAGCUCCCAGAAGGAGACAAAGAGGACCUUUCGAAGGUCUGCAGGUGGCAGGAGGGGCAGAGGAGGCUGGACCCAGGUAAGAAGUCAUUGCAGGGGUCCAAGCCAGGAGAGGACAAAUCUGAUGGAGGUUUAAAAGGCUCAGUUGUCUGCCUGGUGGAGAAGAGACGAAGGGGCAGAGGGGGAAAAAGUGAUGGACUAAGGAUAGAUUUUGGAGGCAGAGCAAACAGGAGAGCAUGAAAGAAACAGAGAAUCAAAGAUGAUGUUUAGGCCAGGGGCGGUGGCUCAUGCCUCUAGUCCCAGCACUUUCGGAGGCUGAGGUGAGAGGAUCGCUUAAGCCCAGGAGUUCAAGACCAGCCUGGGCAACAUAGCAAGACUGCAUCUCUAAAAAAAAAAAAAAAAAAAAAAAAAAUUAGCCAGGUGUGGUGGUGCACACUUGUAGUCUCAGCUACUUGGGAGGCUGAAGUGGGAGAAUCGCUUGAGCUGGGUAUGUUGAGGGUACAAUGAGCCAUGAUUGUGCCACUGCACUCUAGCAGUGGAUGACAGAGUGAGGCCCUGUCUCAAAAAGAAAAGAUGAUGAGUUAUUGGUUUGGGACCAUUUUCUGACCUAGGGAAGACAGAGGAGAAGCUGGCUUGUGGGUGGGUGGUAUCUGGAGCUCCGUUUUGGCCAGGUUACAUUCCAGGCGCCUCCUCGGGGUCUGGGAGGAGCUGUGGAGAACCCAGACAUGACUGUAGGGGUGAAGCAUUUCUGGCCUGUGUAAGCACACACCUGGUGGCCACAGGGCCUGGGCUGUCUGAGAGAGGUCUGGUUUGAGAUGUGUCAACGUCAGACUCUAAAUGCCUCUCACCCCAGGGCUCCGGUAGCCCCUUCCGUGCCUGUCCAGAAGACCCUGCAGAAAGUGCUCAUGGUGGUGUCAUCUCACCUGCAGUAUUUGUUCCUAAAUCAGCACAAGUCGGAUCCUAGCAAGGGCCAUGGAAUAUGCUUAGAGGGUGACACAUACACUGCCACUGCCUAUUUCUAUUCAUGAACUCACUUUUGAAAGUGUCCCAUUUUGAGAUAAUUUUAGACUUAUAGAAGAGUUGCGAAAGCAGCCUCCCCACCCCCAGCCUCUUCUCAUGCCGGCAUUCCAUGAAUCAGAGUGCGAUUAUGAGAGCUGAGACUCACCUCGCCGUGGUCUCGAGAGCUGGACGGCAGGCAGGCCCCCCCCAGCGCCCUCCUCUGUUCCCAGCUCCCACGUGCAUUUGGCUGUCACCUCUCUCUGUCUCCUUUCUGUGUCAGGGCCGGCUUUUUAAGAGGAUGGGUCUGUCGCUCUUGGACAGUCUCUCCGCCUAGGUCUGCCUGACGCCUUCUCUGCAUUGGACUGAGAUGCAGGGUCUUGUUAUGUUACCCAAGCUGGACUUGAACUCUGGGCUCAAGCAAUCCUCCCACCUCAGCCUCCCAAGUAGCUAGGACAACAGGCACGUGCCACGGCGCCUUAGUAACUUUCUGUGUGGUGAUUAAUUCUAAACUUAAUUUUUAAAAUUUUGUUAGUUAAACCUUGAAAUGUCUUCUUUUAUAGUUUCUAGCUACAGUGUUAUACUUGCCCUGUUUUAUAUUUGCUAAAAGAGUCACCUGUUUUUUUUUCUAGCAUCAUAUUUUAACAGCCUUAUUCAUCUUUAUGCUUAAGUAAUGAAUCUGGAACUUAUUUUGAUGUAAGAUAUCAUGCAAUGUAUCUAACUUUUACUCCAAAUGAUAAGCCUGUUGACCUAACACUACUUUUUAAUUAAUUUAUUAUUGCCCCACUGUUGUAAAAUAUUGCUUUCUAUCAUAUACUAAAUUUCAUAUAAAUUUGAAUCCAUUUAUGGUUUCACAAUCCAGUAUAUUCUUUUUUUAUUUCAGUCAUUUUUGGGGAACAGGUGGUUUUUGGUUGCAUGGAUAAGUUCUUUAGUGGUGAUUUCUGAGAUUUUGGUGAACCCAUCACCCAAACAGUGUGCACUGUACCCAGUAUGUAGUCUUUUUUCCCUCACCCACCUCUCCCCACACGUCCCCAAAGUCCAUCGUAUUAUUCUUAUGCCUUCGCAUCCUCAUAGCUUAGCUCCCCCUUAUAAGUGAGAACAUAUGAUAUUUGGUUUUCUAUUUCUGAGUUACUUAACUUAUUCAUUAUUCAUGGCCUCCAGCUCCAUUUAAGUUGCUGCAAAGGCCAUUAUUUCAUUCUGUCUUAUGGCUGAAUGGUAUUCCAUGUUUAUAUACCACAUUUUCUUUAUCCACUCAUUGGUUGAUGGGCAUUUAGGUUGGUUCCAUAUUUUUGCAAUUCUGAAUUGUACUGCUAUAAACAUGCGUGUGCAAGUGUCUUUUUCAUAUAAUGGCUUCUUUUCCUCUGGGUAGGUACCCAGUAGCAGGAUUGCUGGAUCAAAUUGUAGUUCUACUUUUAGUUCUUUAAGGAAUCUCCAUACUGUUUUCCGUAGUGGUUGUACUAGUUUACAUUCCUACCAGCAGUGUAGAAAUGCUCCCUUUUCACCACAUCAAUGCCAACAUCUACUAUUUUUUCAUUUUUUAAUUAUGGUCAUUUUUGCAGGAGUAAGGUGGUAUCUCAUUGCGGUUUUGAUUUGCAUUUUCCUGAUAAUUAGUGAUGUUCAGCAUUUUUUCAUAUGUUUGUUGGUUGUUUGUAUAUCUUCUUUUGCAAAUUUUCUAUUCAUGUCCUUAGCCCACUUCUUGAUGGGAUUAUUAGGUUUUUUUUUUUUCUGAUUUGUUUGAUUUCCUUGCAGAUUCUGGAUAUUAGUCCUUUGCUGGAUGUAUAGAUUGUAGAGAUUUUCUCCCACUUUGCGGGUUGUCUGUUUACUCUGCUGAUUAUUAUUAUUAUUAUUAUUAUUAGCAGCUGUGCAGAAGCUUUUUAGCUCCAUUAUAUCUCAUUUAUUUAUUUUGUCCUUGUUGCAUUUGCUUUUGUGUUUUUAGUCAUAAAUUCUUUGCCUAAGCCAAUGUCUACAAGAGUUUUUCUGAUGUCAUCUUCUAGAAUCUUUAUGGUUUCAGUUCUUAGAUUUAAGGCUUUGAUCCAUCUUGACUUGAUUUUUGUAUAAGGUGAGAUAUGAGGAUCCAGUUUCAUUCUACAUGUGGCUUGACAAUUGUCCCAGCACCAUUUGUUGAACAGGGUGUCCUUUCCUCACUUUAUGUUUUUGUAUGCAUUGUUGAAGAUCAGUUGGCUGUAAAUAUUUGGCUUUAUUUCUGGGUUCUCUAUUCUGUUCCAUUGGUCUAUAUGCCUAUUUUUAUACCAGUACCAUGCUGUUUUGGUAACUAUAGCCUUGUGAUAUAGUUUGAAGUCAGGUAAUGUGAUGCCUCCAGAUUUGUUCUUUCUGCUUAGUAUUGCUUCAGCUAUGCAGGCUCUUUUUUGGUUCUAUAUAAAUUUUAGGAUUGUUUUUUCUACUUCUGUGAGGAAUUAUGAUGGUAUUUUGAUGGGAAUUGCAUUAAAUCUGUAGAUUGCUUUUGGCAUUAUAGUCAUUUUCACAAUAUUGAUUCUACCCAUCCAUGACCAUGGGAUGUAUUUCUAUUUCUUUGUGUCAUCUAUGAUUUCUUUCAGCAGUGUUUUGUAGUUUUCCUUGUAGAGAUCUUUCACUUCCUUGGUUAAGUAUAUUCCUAAGUAUGUAUGUAUGUAUGUAUGUAUGUAUGUAUGUAUGUAUGUGUUUAUUUAUUUAUUUUGCAGCUGUUGUAAAAGGAAUUGAGUUCUUGAUUUGAUUCUCAGCUUGGCUGUUGUUGGCGUAUAGCAGUGCUACUGAUUUAUGUACAUUGAUUUUGUAUCCUGAAAGUUUACUGAAUUCAUUUAUCGUAUCUAGGAGCUUUUAGUUAAAAUGAACUCAUUGGUUAGCCCUAAUCUGGUAUGACUGCUAUACUCAUAAAAAGAGGAGAUGACUGCCGGGCACGGUGGCUCAUGCCUGUAAUCCCAGCACUUUGGGAGGCCGAGGAGGGCAGAUCACGAGGUCAGGAGAUCGAGACCAUCCUGGCUAAAACAGUGA